GUCUCACUGACUUCAAGAAUGAAGCCGCGGACCCUCGCAGUAAAUAGGUUCAUCACUGUGAAGAUUUCUGGACAUUCUGCCACCACCUUGGUCUACAAGUGGCAUUCCCAAAGCCUGAAGCUAUCUUUGGCACCUGUAAAACGCCAGCCUUUCCCUCCAUGCCUACCCAAAGUGGUAGGUCCAGAGAUGUCUUGAUCAUCU
Molecule: long non-coding RNA, 201 nt
Filed under: Homo sapiens (human)
Lineage: Eukaryota; Metazoa; Chordata; Mammalia; Primates; Hominidae
Description: non-protein coding lnc-USP44-7:3
Source: RNAcentral